ACUGAUUCCCCAGAGAUAUUCAUCAGUCCGUUCGAUUGGUUUGCCUCAGCUUACCUUUUAUGGGCUUACAAUUUUAUGACCCCUCAUAACUACUCUCUACUCUUUUACUCUACUCCCAACUCCCAACUCCUCAAGGCAAUGCUCUUCAAUUUUUUUUGUUUAUUUAUUCUUGACUCUGAACAAUCAAGUACUAUAAUCUGGGCUUUUUAACCGGGGUUUUUUGUUUUCUUGAAAACCCCCAACUCGUUUCGUGUCUAGUUAAAAAGGUUUGCUCUGUUUCUCUCCGUUAUUAAGGUUAGGGUUUGAUAUAAGAAGAAAGAGGGCUUUUUCUUUCUUAAUGUGUUUUUGACCCUUUUUGGCUUCGUUUGUUUUCUGGGUUUUCAGCAAGGUGAGGCAUUGUAUUUGGGUGACAAGAAAAAUGAGUUAUCUUGUUCAGUGUUGAGUGACAAAAA
RNAcentral lists this long non-coding RNA (452 nucleotides) under Panax ginseng (ginseng). RNAcentral describes it as "long non-coding RNA (PGIN_LNC003453)". Lineage: Eukaryota; Viridiplantae; Streptophyta; Magnoliopsida; Apiales; Araliaceae. The record is from RNAcentral.